RNAcentral lists this ribosomal RNA (379 nucleotides) under Paenibacillus sp. RNAcentral describes it as "bacterial SSU rRNA". It matches the Rfam family "Bacterial small subunit ribosomal RNA", at positions 61 to 424 of the family's 1533-position model. Lineage: Bacteria; Bacillati; Bacillota; Bacilli; Caryophanales; Paenibacillaceae. The record is from RNAcentral.
GUCGAGCGGACUUGAUGAAGAGCUUGCUCUCCAUGAGAGUUAGCGUGCGGACGGGUGAGUAACACGUAGGCAACCUGCCCUCUGGACUGGGAUAACUACCGGAAACGGUAGCUAAUACCAGAUAAUUCACUUCUUCGCAUGGAGAAGUGAGGAAAGACGGAGCAAUCUGUCACCGGAGGAUGGGCCUGCGGCGCAUUAGCUAGUUGGAGAGGUAACGGCUCCCCAAGGCGACGAUGCGUAGCCGACCUGAGAGGGUGAGCGGCCACACUGGGACUGAGACACGGCCCAGACUCCUACGGGAGGCAGCAGUAGGGAAUCUUCCGCAAGGGGCGAAGGCCUGACGGAGCAACGCCGCGGGAGUGAGGAAGGUUUUCGGAUC